Molecule: ribosomal RNA, 460 nt
Filed under: uncultured bacterium
Lineage: Bacteria
Description: partial 16S ribosomal RNA
Rfam family: Bacterial small subunit ribosomal RNA
Source: RNAcentral
CCUACGGGAGACAGCAGUGAGGAAUAUUGGUCAAUGGACGAGAGUCUGAACCAGCCAAGUAGCGUGAAGGAUGACUGCCCUAUGGGUUGUAAACUUCUUUUAUAAAGGAAUAAAACGAGGCACGUGUGCCUUUUUGCAUGUACUUUAUGAAUAAGGAUCGGCGAACUCCGUGCCAGCAGCCGCGGUAAUACGGAGGAUCCGAGCGUUAUCCGGAUUUCUUGGGUUUAAAGGGAGCGUAGAUGGGUUGUUAAGUCAGUUGUGAAAGUUUGCGGCUCAACCGUAAAAUUGCAAUUGAUACUGGCAGUCUUGAGUACAGUUGAGGUAGGCGGAAUUCGUGGUGUAGCGGUGAAAUGCUUAGAUAUCACGAAGAACCCCGAUUGCGAAGGCAGCUUACUAAACUGUGACUGACAUUGAUGCUCGAAAGUGUGGGUAUCAAACAGGAUUAGAUACCCUUGUAGUC